CUCGGUCCUUGCGGUCGCGCGGCUCCGAGCAUCCUCCCGGACAGCCGCAUCUUAACCUAUCUCCCUCGGGGCAAGAGGCUCCGGUGGUUCCCGCAGAACGUCGAGUGGAGUCCGGUGUGCGGUGCUCCCGCUCGGCGCCGCCUCCCGAUCCCUCCCUGCACUCCCCCCCAACCCUCCCGCUCCUCCCCCUCCCAGGCUGUCACACGCGGCCAGGCAGCGCUGGGCUUCGACCCAAGCGCUGCCGACAGCUCUGGGCAGAGAGGUAAGGGUGCGGGCUGAGGCUGGGGCCAGGGGCGCGGUCCGGACCUGGCGGGGCUGAGGGCGACGGGAGCUCCGGGAGCGGCGGGGGAUGGGCGGCACGGUGGCAGAACCUAGUGGUUCUGAUAGUCCUGGUGCCACACAACGAAGACGUUGCUGUCCCUCUCUGACCCCUCCUCCCUCCUUAAACGCGCGGCUUCAAGACUAGCCUAACCAGGAGAACUCAGCCCCGCUCUCCAAGUAUGAAGCUGGCCUGUUUACUAGAGCAACAGGAGGAUUGAGCUUUGCCAGGGCAUCCUUGAGUAGCAGCAGGGUGUGAUGGCCACAUAAAUGUACACAAGAUAGGAGGCAUUCCAUCCUAGCAGCUGCAGUUACUACUGCCUCAUGAAUACAAGAAAGUAUUCAAAGAAAGGUGCCUGUCGGAAAGCAGCUUCCUCCACACCACAGACCUCCGGGGACACUAAGCAGCAUCAACUGACCAAUAAUAAAUGUUGGAGAACUUAUUCUG
Molecule: long non-coding RNA, 766 nt
Organism: Mastomys coucha (southern multimammate mouse)
Lineage: Eukaryota; Metazoa; Chordata; Mammalia; Rodentia; Muridae
Exons: 3
Source: RefSeq, a predicted model, not a curated record